CCUACGGGUGGCAGCAGUGGGGAAUAUUGGGCAAUGGGCGCAAGCCUGACCCAGCAACGCCGCGUGAAGGAAGAAGGCUUUCGGGUUGUAAACUUCUUUUGUCAGGGAAGAGUAGAAGACGGUACCUGACGAAUAAGCUACGGCUAACUACGUGCCAGCAGCCGCGGUAAUACGUAGGUGGCAAGCGUUGUCCGGAUUUACUGGGUGUAAAGGGCGUGUAGCCGGGUUGACAAGUCAGAUGUGAAAUCCUGCGGCUUAACGGCAGAACUGCAUUUGAAACUGUUGAUCUUGAGUACUGGAGAGGCAGACGGAAUUCCUGGUGUAGCGGUGAAAUGCGUAGAUAUUAGGAGGAACACCAGUGGCGAAGGCGGUCAGCUGGACAGCAACUGACGGUGAGGCGCGAAAGCGUGGGGAGCAAACAGGAUUAGAUACCCUAGUAGUC
This 442-nucleotide ribosomal RNA is filed under the name uncultured bacterium. RNAcentral describes it as "partial 16S ribosomal RNA". It matches the Rfam family "Bacterial small subunit ribosomal RNA", at positions 338 to 795 of the family's 1533-position model. The record is from RNAcentral.